RNAcentral lists this long non-coding RNA (206 nucleotides) under Elaeis guineensis (African oil palm). RNAcentral's name for it is "long non-coding RNA (EGUI_LNC001423)". Lineage: Eukaryota; Viridiplantae; Streptophyta; Magnoliopsida; Arecales; Arecaceae. The record is from RNAcentral.
CAUGCGAAGUUGAGCCUCGUUUCGCAGUUCGGGGAGGAGGUCUAGGUCGGCCCUCCGACAAUCAGAGUUGUCCGGCUCUUGAUACCGCUCGACCCUUGUAGACGGCAGUCCAAUCUCGAGUGGAAUCAUUGCCUCCGUUCCAUAGGCCAAGCUGAAAGGCGACUCCCCGGUCGGAAUGCGGGGGGUCAUUCGGUAAGCCCACAGAA